GUAGGUGGCAAGCGUUGUCCGGAAUUAUUGGGCGUAAAGCGCGCGCAGGCGGUCCUUUAAGUCUGAUGUGAAAGCCCACGGCUCAACCGUGGAGGGUCAUUGGAAACUGAGGGACUUGAGUACAGAAGAGGAAAGCGGAAUUCCACGUGUAGCGGUGAAAUGCGUAGAGAUGUGGAGGAACACCAGUGGCGAAGGCGGCUUUCUGGUCUGUAACUGACGCUGAGGCGCGAAAGCGUGGGGAGCAAACAGGGAUUAGAUACCCUGGUAGUCCACGCCGUAAACGAUGAGUGCUAAGUGUUAGGGGGGUUUCCGCCCCCUUAGUGCUGCAGCUAACGCAUUAAGCACUCCGCCUGGGGAGUACGACCGCAAGGUUG
RNAcentral lists this ribosomal RNA (374 nucleotides) under uncultured organism. RNAcentral's name for it is "partial 16S ribosomal RNA". It matches the Rfam family "Bacterial small subunit ribosomal RNA", at positions 527 to 896 of the family's 1533-position model. The record is from RNAcentral.